GAUGAAGAACGCAGCGAAAUGCGAUAAGUAAUGUGAAUUGCAGAAUUCAGAGAAUCAUCGAAUCUUUGAACGCACAUUGCGCCCGCCAGUAUUCUGGCGGGCAUGCCUGUUCGAGCGUCAUUACAACCCUCAGGCCCCCGGGCCUGGCGUUGGGGAUCGGCGGAAGCCCCCUGCGGGCACAACGCCGUCCCCCAAAUACAGUGGCGGUCCCGCCGCAGCUUCCAUUGCGUAGUAGCUAACACCUCGCAACUGGAGAGCGGCGCGGCCACGCCGUAAAACACCCAACUUCUGAAUGUUGACCUCGAAUCAGGUAGGAAUACCCGCUGAACUUAAGCAUAUCAAUAAGCGGAGGA
This 353-nucleotide unclassified non-coding RNA is filed under the name soil metagenome. Its description in RNAcentral is "partial contains 5.8S ribosomal RNA, internal transcribed spacer 2, and large subunit ribosomal RNA". The stretch from base 1 to 120 matches the Rfam family "5.8S ribosomal RNA", at positions 35 to 154 of the family's 154-position model. The record is from RNAcentral.